Long non-coding RNA from Mauremys mutica (yellowpond turtle), 1234 nucleotides. RefSeq lists it as uncharacterized. The transcript has 3 exons. Lineage: Eukaryota; Metazoa; Chordata; Testudines; Geoemydidae. The record is from RefSeq and is a predicted model, not a curated record.
AUACAGGGUCUUUCCCUUCCUGCUGGCCCAUCAUGACGCCACGUCUGCAGGCACUGAACCCAAUGGCAUCUGCGAGCAGUACCCUUCAAAGUAUAAACAGCGGCAUGCUGUGAUUGCUAGGGCCAACCACUAGGGGUAGACAUAAACACACUCACUAAACCUGGGUGACCGCCUGCACCAAACGGCCCUCGAGGGCUGGUUUCAGGGAACAGUGCUUAUCGUCAUAGGCGGAUUCAGUGUAUGCAGAGCAAUAGCGCCACCACCUUUGCAGAUCUCCCACCAGAACUGUUCCCCCAGCGAGGUCUCCAUCUUGCCAAUCCCUUCGAACGUCCCUUUCACCGUAUGGAUGAACCAGACCUACAAAUGAUACGAGGGGCAAAUUACUGGGACAGGAGAAGAGACAGCUGUGGCAGCCACAUCAGAAGAUGAGACGUUGGUGAUGUCAAGAGGAUCAGGCCUUCAUCCUGUGGUGGACUAAACACACCAGGGAACCUUAAUGGGCAAGGAUGUUCCAAGUGGCAAACAGCCACCAAUCAUCAGGAUUAAUAGUCAAACACACAGAGCGAAGCUUUGGGAAUAAUACUGCAGAAACAGUCCUGUAGGCACAGAAGCAAACAGAAUCAAAUCAGUAUUCCGUGUGGCCAAAUCUUCACUGUAUUACCUUAGUGGGAAUUUGGAUAGUAUUACCCAGAAUGCUCCCUGCUGCAACUUUGCCUUGAAAAACAAUCCGUUUCUGCGCUCAGCAUUAAGUGACUGCAUUAUUAGGAUUUAACUUUGAACUUCAACAUUUGGAAUCCAUUAUUUAAUCAUUAAUUUCCUCCAGUUUCCCCCAACUAGCUUUACUGCUUCAUGUUAGAUCUCUGGGCGCUGUGGUCCCAGCCACACGUCUAUCCAACAGUUUGUGCUUCAGCAGUUCAGUGUUCCAUCAAUCUUUCCUACAGCAAAAGCCUCUGUUUAUAUUAACCACUGAGCCAACGGUGUGCACCGGCUUGAGAGUGCAAAAAUAGAUAAUUCUCUCCCCCCUGUAGGCCUCUCCCAUAGAUCAUUCUGAGUUUGGUCUGUUAGAACCCCUUCAAGGGAAAAGUGACACCGUGAAAAUGACCUCGUGGGGCUCCAGUGUUUGGUGUUGGAUUCCUUCAGUUUAUGAAUCAAGAGCUGAUUUUUUUUUCCUGACUGCCAUCAUGGUGGAAACCAGCCGGGGAUCUGAAAGUCAAGCUGUGUUCUUUCUGGUGCU